Molecule: long non-coding RNA, 739 nt
Organism: Scomber japonicus (chub mackerel)
Lineage: Eukaryota; Metazoa; Chordata; Actinopteri; Scombriformes; Scombridae
Exons: 4
Source: RefSeq, a predicted model, not a curated record
GUCAAUCAAAAUGUACUCCUUUGUGAUUCCCGUCAAAGUGACAGAUUCUGAGCUGAGUGAUUACUGUAAGAAGGAGUCAUUACCCGUCCACAUUCUGUACCUGCACCUACAGAUGUCCAUGACAGUUUACUACCUGGCCCACUAUGAGCAGCUCUCUCUGGACACAUACGAGUACAUCGACUGUGGAUCAAACAGCACCAUACCGCACAGUGUGCUACCUCCACCUCCCUGAUGGAUGGAUGGAAGGAUGGAUGGACAGAUGGACAGAGGAACAGAUGAACAGAGACAAUGUUUAUGAAGUGGAAUAGUUGGCAGUGUAAUGUGGUUUUUUUCUUUUGUUUUUCAUGAACUGUAUCACCAAAAUGUUGGAUAAAACCAUCAUAUGUGAUUCCUGGUUGGUGUUCCUCAUGGUUGGAUGGAUGGAUGGAUGGAUGGAUGGAUGAGGACGCACCUUCCUGUGUCUGAAGGAAGAAAGUGUAGCUAUCACUCUCAUCCUCGCCACCUUGAUGGUUUUGGACAAUAGAUGUUGAGAAGGAGCCUAAACAUACACUGACAGUCUUAACGUUGGUGCAGUGAUGCUAUCUGUAUCAGUGAAGACCUGAUUAUACUCUGAUUUAAGAUCACAUGAUGUUACUGAAAGUCCAGAUAGUCAUGUAACCAUGUUGUGAUAUUUUUGUGCUGGUGUAGAUUUUGACCACUGUCAAUGUUCAAUACAUUCAAAUGCAUCUCAUUUUACUCA